UCAGAGUGGGACUAAGCCAUGCGAGUCAACGCCGCAAGGCGUGGCAUACGGCUCAGUAACACGUAGUCAACAUGCCCAAAGGACGUGGAUAACCUCGGGAAACUGAGGAUAAACCGCGAUAGGUCAAGGUUUCUGGAAUGAGCCAUGGCCGAAAUCUAUAUGGCCUCUGGAUUGGACUGCGGCCGAUCAGGCUGUUGGUGAGGUAAUGGCCCACCAAACCUGUUACCGGUACGGGCUCUGAGAGGAGGAGCCCGGAGAUGGGCACUGAGACAAGGGCCCAGGCCCUAUGGGGCGCAGCAGGCGCGAAACCUCUGCAAUAGGCGAAAGCUUGACUGGGUUACUCUGAGUGAUUCCCGCUAAGGGAAUCUUUUGGCAUCUCUAAAAAUGGUGCAGAAUAAGGGGUGGGCAAGUCUGGUGUCAGCCGCCGCGGUAAUACCAGCACCCCGAGUUGUCGGGACGAUUAUUGGGCCUAAAGCAUCCGUAGCCUGUUCUGCAAGUCCUCCGUUAAAUCCACCUGCUCAACGGAUGGGCUGCGGAGGAAACCGCAGAGCUAGGAGGCGGGAGAGGCAAACGGUACUCAGUGGGUAGGGGUAAAAUCCAUUGAUCUACUGAAGACCACCAGUGGCGAAGGCGGUUUGCCAGAACGCGCUCGACGGUGAGGGAUGAAAGCUGGGGGAGCAAACCGGAUUAGAUACCCGGGUAGUCCCAGCUGUAAACGAUGCAGACUCGGUGAUGGGUUGGCUUCGAGCCAACCCAGUGCCGCAGGGAAGCCGUUAAGUCUGCCGCCUGGGGAGUACGGUCGUAAGACUGAAACUUAAAGGAAUUGGCGGGGGAGCACCACAAGGGGUGAAGCCUGCGGUUCAAUUGGAUUCAACGCCGGG
RNAcentral lists this ribosomal RNA (881 nucleotides) under uncultured crenarchaeote. Its description in RNAcentral is "bacterial SSU rRNA". It matches the Rfam family "Archaeal small subunit ribosomal RNA", at positions 33 to 922 of the family's 1478-position model. The record is from RNAcentral. Lineage: Archaea; Thermoproteati; Thermoproteota.